This is a long non-coding RNA of Brassica rapa (field mustard), 886 nucleotides long. RefSeq lists it as uncharacterized. The record is from RefSeq and is a predicted model, not a curated record. Lineage: Eukaryota; Viridiplantae; Streptophyta; Magnoliopsida; Brassicales; Brassicaceae.
CUCUGCGACAACGAAGACUGAAUCUCUCCCACCACCCACGACGGCUAUUCUUCUCCGGCGUAGUGUGUUCUCCGGUUUUCCUCUCACGGUGUGUUCUUCAUUUCUUCUUCUUCGAUUUCGUUUUUUUUUUUGUUUUAAUCUCGUGUUUACUUUCAUGUGUGGGAGAAGCUAUCUUCAUCUCUGGCGUGAAUCUCUCCAUCUCCGGCGUGAAUCUAUUCUUCUCCUGUCGAAAUUGAAGCCGGAUAUCACCGCUUUGACAUCUCAUGAGAACAUGACAUUCUUACCACCUCCUGAGCUACGCUACCAUUUCCUAGCUUCAGCUCCAGGACCUAAGCAACACCGAGGUGGUUCUUCUGUUUAAAAUCAUGCUUCUACCAUGGAGUACCUUCUCCCAGCUUACACCGGCCAGUUUGACUUCCCACCACCACCACUUGAGGGUACACCAAAUGAGCAGUUUGCAUGGACCGCACACUCACAAAUGAAGCUAUUGACGAUGAUGAUGCAGCAGCUGUAGGGAGUUUUCGCAAGUACCAGAGGCCCACCACCUCCAGCUUCAGUCCCAUCUAUAACAUGUCUACUGAGACUACUACAGACGUUCCCGACGUUGCUAGACACAGGGACGCAGACACUGCAGCUGCAGAGGAGACAGCCGAAGGAGCAGCAGAUGCAGAGCGUGAUACACGCCUUCCUAGGCAAAGGCGAGGACUGGGGCAGAGCAGGAGUUGCAGUCCUGAUGACCACCACGGAUCAGUAGCAUUCAUAUUAACAUGAUUUUUAACUAUGAUUUUGCAAUGAUUUUUAGACUGGAUUUUUAUGCGUGACAGUUUAACGUAAUGUUUAGACAUGAUUUUUUUUAUAAGUGAUUGUUUGACGAAUUUUUAAACCA